Capsicum annuum is the source of this 72-nucleotide non-coding RNA. NCBI's taxonomy places the organism in Eukaryota, Viridiplantae, Streptophyta, Magnoliopsida, Solanales, Solanaceae. The record is from Rfam.
AGGGAUAUAACUCAGUGGUAGAGUGUUACCUUGAUGUGGUAGAAGUCAUCAGUUUGAGCCUGAUUAUCCCUA